GACGAACGCUGGCGGCGUGCCUAAUACAUGCAAGUAGAACGCUGAAGGAGGAGCUUGCUUCUCUGGAUGAGUUGCGAACGGGUGAGUAACGCGUAGGUAACCUGCCUGGUAGCGGGGGAUAACUAUUGGAAACGAUAGCUAAUACCGCAUAAGAGUAGAUGUUGCAUGACAUUUGCUUAAAAGGUGCAAUUGCAUCACUACCAGAUGGACCUGCGUUGUAUUAGCUAGUUGGUGGGGUAACGGCUCACCAAGGCGACGAUACAUAGCCGACCUGAGAGGGUGAUCGGCCACACUGGGACUGAGACACGGCCCAGACUCCUACGGGAGGCAGCAGUAGGGAAUCUUCGGCAAUGGACGGAAGUCUGACCGAGCAACGCCGCGUGAGUGAAGAAGGUUUUCGGAUCGUAAAGCUCUGUUGUAAGAGAAGAACGAGUGUGAGAGUGGAAAGUUCACACUGGGACGGUAUCUUACCAGAAAGGGACGGCUAACUACGU
RNAcentral lists this ribosomal RNA (494 nucleotides) under uncultured bacterium. RNAcentral's name for it is "partial 16S ribosomal RNA". It matches the Rfam family "Bacterial small subunit ribosomal RNA", at positions 28 to 506 of the family's 1533-position model. The record is from RNAcentral.